UCUGUUUCUAAGGAUCGAAAAGAUUUAAAAUUUGCUUAAAAGAUUUUAAUUUUAUUGUCGUUUUUUUUAAGAAUCUAUGAUGAUUUUAUUCCUGCAGUUGUUUGAUGAAAAACUUAGAAAAUCAUCAUACAUUACUAAACUAUGUAGACCAUUAAUGCUCUGUUUUGUGAUGUAUCUAGUAAGUCAUCCGAAUUCGUGACCUGUGCUAAUUACUACUUUUUAUGAAGAUCCAUUCCUAUUUCCAAAUAAUCCCAUGGAGCUCAAUUUAAUUCUUUUCAUUAUGAUCACCACCGGUCUCUGUUGACAGGAAAUUGAUGUUAAUGAGGCUGAAGAAAAGAAUGAGAAUCAAGAGAAAGUGAUGGUGAACCAAGACGCCGAGAAUUCUUGCCAUAAUAAACGAAGAAAAUUGAACUCAAAGGUUUGGGAUGACUUCACAAAGCGUAAAGGACAAUCUGGAAAAGAAGUGGCUGUAUGCAAUCAUUGUGGGAGGGAAUUUGAUGGUUCAAGCAAGAAAGGAACUACUCAUCUCAAGAACCAUUUACAAAGAUGCCCAGGUAAAAGAAACGGAGAUGUUGAUAAAUUUAUUAAAUCUGUGAUUGAUGCAAUAGGAUUACGGAUGAAUUCUGAGCAUUGGGAUCCAUUAGCGCUAAACUCCAAAAAGGACGAUAUACUCCAAUUUUACAAUAAAGAGAAGGAAAAACUUUGCAGGCUUCUCAAUAAACUCUCAUGUCGUUUUAGCUUAACAAUUGAGUGGUGUGCGAAUUGCUGCCUCUUGGUGGUACAUUAUAUCAAUGAUGGUUGGGAUCCAAUGUGGAAGGUUAUUAGUGUUCAGGAUGUCAGAUUUCCUUACAGUAUUCUGUUAGAAAAUAUGAAACGUUCCUGCUUGGAUUGGCAGAUUGAUAGGGAUAUAUGUAUGGUAAUUACCACGGGCGAUAAUGUGAUUAGUGAGAUUAACAGCUGGGUUUGUGAAAGGGGUUCACUUCACUUUGGUGGGCAGAUGAUGGCUAUUGGUGGCUUGGUUGAAAUUCUUCUCACUUUUGUUGAGAAUUUAUCAUCCCGCACAUGUGAUACAGUUGGAAUAAGGCGGUGUUUUCGUGAUGUCUUUAAGAGUACUCCAUCGAAUGAACAUAAAUUUCGAAAGAUUUCAGCUGCUAAAGUUAAGUCCAUGGGCAAUAAAACUUACGGCUUUGAACAGCUUGAGAUAGCCGUGGGUCUUAAGAAAGUUCUUUGUGAGCUUGUGAAUGCAGAUUCUAAUUUCAAGUCAAUGAAUUUAACAAAGGAAGACUGGCAUAAGGCGACUGUCGCAUAUGAGCGUAUAAAAGCCUUACACGAUGUAGCGUGCAGUUUAUCAGAGAGCAAAUGUAAAACGGCAAAUGCAUAUUUCCCAAAGGUAUGUGACAUAUAUAUGAAAUUGCUUCAAUGGGAAAGAAGUGAAGAUGAUUGUGUCGGCAAGAUAGCCUUGGAAGCAAGAGAAAUAUUUGUUAACAGAUAUUGGAUGAAGUAUGAAUUAAUCCUAGUAAUUGCAGCUGUUCUUGAUCCGCGGUUCAAAAUGGAUAUUGUGCAACUUUGGUACAAAGAGAUUUAUGCUAGUGCUGCUCGCACACAUCUUGAGAAAAUUAAUGGCGAAUUUAAUCGUGUUUAUAAUGAAUAUGCCAAGGGCUCCGGAAAAUCCAGAUCUGGUGAUGCGAGUUCUUCAAUGUCAUUCAAAUUGUUAGACGCUAUGGGUAGACCGUGUACGUUGUCGCAUGGCGUCUUUGAUGACGGUAUCGCUUCACCAAAAUCAGAACUUGAUUGCUAUUUGAACGAGCCUAAAUUUCCCAGAGUUGAAGAGUUUGACAUACUGGCUUGGUGGCGUGUUAACACUCCAAAAUUUCCAACGCUUGCAAGGAUGGCUCGUGAUUUUUUAGCAAUGCCUAUUUCUCCUAGUGCUGCUACUGCAUAUGCUUGCUUCAGUAAAGAAGCUAAGGAUAUUUUUGAUACAGGCCUAGAUAAUGACCUUAUAACUGCCUUGGUGCGUUUAAAAGUAUGGUUGUAAUUAAAGCCUGAAAAAAAAAUUAAAAAACUCUUCUGAGCGGAGUAAGAGCAUCUCCAAAAGCCUCUAUAAAUUUUAAUUUUUAAAUACAUAUUUGCUUACUUAUACGGCAAAUAGAAAGGUGAAAAAAUAUGAUAUUUUCCAAAAGACUUUUCAAAUAGAAAUAAAUUAAUAUUAUUUUAAUCAUAUAAUUAGUUUUUUAAAGGAAAAGUCAAUAGCAAUUAAAUCAUUUCUCUUUCUUUCUUCAAUGAAAAGUAAUAAAAUAUAAAUUGAAAAGGGAGAAAUUAACUCUCCAAAUUUGAAGAGAGAGAAUCAAUUCUUAUUUGAAUAAUUUUAAUUAGAGUGUCUUUUGGAGCUUUAAAUAUUUAUGUGACUUUUCAAAUAAGUAAUAAAAUCUUAUUUAAAGAGCUUUUUGUUGAUGCUCUAAGAGUAUCACCAAAAAACUCUUCAAAUAAGAUUUUAUUACUUAUUUGAAGAGCUAUAUUAACAUUCAAGGCUUCAAAAGACACUCCAAUUAAAAUUCUUCAAAUAAGAAAUGACCAUCUCUUUUUAAAUUUGAAAAGUUACUUUCUCCCUCUUCAAUUUAUAUUUUAUUACUUUUUGUUGAAAAAAAGAGAAAUGUGCUUUAAUUACUAUUGACUUUUCCUUUAAAAAAAUAGUUAUUUAAUUAAAAUAACAUUAACUCAUUUAAAGAGUCUUUUGGAGAACAAUAUCUUUUUUCACUCAUCUAUUUACCACAUAGGUAAGCAAAUGAAUAUUUGAAGAGUAAAAUUUAUAGAGCAUUUUGAAGAUGCUCUAAGUUGUCCUCAAUUUUGCUACUUACCAAAAAUGUUUUUCUUUCAAUAUGCAAAAAUGUAUUAUGAAUCUAAUUGUGAAGUAUCUAAAGUGUUAUCUAAAUUUCUAAUUCAUUUCUCAAUCUCUAAAUUGAAUAUAAUUAUAAAUAAGGUUGGCAAAAUUUGUAUUCGGAUAUGAAUAUCCAUAUCUGCAUUUACAUUUUUAUAUAUGAAUCCGCAAAAAAAAUAUGUGGAUCUGCAUGUGGGUAAUAGCCGCAACGGAUGUGGGUGGAUAUUCCAGAUAUUCGGAUUAACAAUAAUCAAAAUUUGAUAAUUUAAUAUAUAAUUUAAAAAUUCAAUGAUUUAGCUUAUAAUAUAAAAAAAAUUCAAUCAUAAUUCAACAAUUAAUAAUUGAACAUGACUAACAUACAACAACAUCAUAAAUCGAUAAAUAAAAUUCAAUUUUUAGUAUAUCGAAUUCGUGACCUGUGCUAAUUACUAAACCUUUUUAUGAAGAUCCAUUCCAAUUUCCAAAUAAUCCCACAGAGCUCAAUUUAAUUCUUUUCAUUAUGAUCACCACCGGUCUCUGUUGACAGGAAAUCAAUAUUAAUGAGGCUGAAGAACAGAAUGAGAAUCAAGAGAAAGGGAUGUCUCCAGUAAGUCAUCCGAAUUCGUGACCUGUGCUAAUUACUACUUUUUAUGAAGAUCCAUUCCUAUUUCCAAAUAAUCCCAUGGAGCUCAAUUUAAUUCUUUUCAUUAUGAUCACCACCGGUCUCUGUUGACAGGAAAUCAAUAUUAAUGAGGCUGAAGAACAGAAUGAGAAUCAAG
This 3633-nucleotide long non-coding RNA is filed under the name Citrus sinensis (sweet orange). RNAcentral describes it as "long non-coding RNA (CSIN_LNC002716)". Lineage: Eukaryota; Viridiplantae; Streptophyta; Magnoliopsida; Sapindales; Rutaceae. The record is from RNAcentral.